GUCCGCAACGAGCGCAACCCUUGUCCUUAGUUGCCACCAUUCAGUUGGGCGACUCUAAGGAGACUGCCGGUGUUAAACCGGAGGAAGGUGGGGAUGACGUCAAGUCCUCAUGGCCCUUAUAUCCAGGGCUACACACGUGCUACAAUGGCCGGUACAAAGGGUCGCAAUACCGCGAGGUGGAGCUAAUCCCAAAAAGCCGGUCUCAGUUCGGAUUGGAGUCUGCAACUCGACUCCAUGAAGUCGGAAUCGCUAGUAAUCGCGUAUCAGCGUGACGCGGUGAAUACGUUCCCGGGCCUU
This 297-nucleotide ribosomal RNA is filed under the name uncultured Geothermobacter sp. RNAcentral describes it as "partial 16S ribosomal RNA". It matches the Rfam family "Bacterial small subunit ribosomal RNA", at positions 1085 to 1382 of the family's 1533-position model. Lineage: Bacteria; Pseudomonadati; Thermodesulfobacteriota; Desulfuromonadia; Desulfuromonadales; Geothermobacteraceae. The record is from RNAcentral.